Molecule: RNase P RNA, 414 nt
Filed under: Dehalococcoidia bacterium
Lineage: Bacteria; Bacillati; Chloroflexota; Dehalococcoidia
Description: RNase P RNA component class A
Rfam family: Bacterial RNase P class A
About the family: Ribonuclease P (RNase P) is a ubiquitous endoribonuclease, found in archaea, bacteria and eukarya as well as chloroplasts and mitochondria. Its best characterised activity is the generation of mature 5'-ends of tRNAs by cleaving the 5'-leader elements of precursor-tRNAs.
Source: RNAcentral
CAAGCAAGCCGGGUGGCCGCCCUUUUCUCGACCUAAGCCUGGGGCUCAGGUCGAGAAUUCGGGGAGGAAAGUCCGAGCUCCACCGGGCAGGAUGCUGGGUAACACCCAGGAGGGGCGACCCUACGGAAAGUGCCACAGAAACAUACCGCCCCCGACCUAACCCCAAGCCUGAGUUAGGUCGGGGGUAAGGGUGAAAUGGUGAGGUAAGAGCUCACCGGCGGCUGGGUGACCAGCCGGCCGGGCAAACCCCAUCCGGAGCAAGGCCGAAUAGGAGGACGCUAGAGGACGCCCGGCCGAAGUCCUCGGGUAGGCCGCUGGAGGUGGCGGGCAACCGUCACCCUAGAUAGAUGGUCACCACCCCGGGCUGGGCAACUGGCCCAGGGACAGAACUCGGCUUAUAGGCUUACUUGGCCC